GAUUUAAACAGAGAUAGGAUUACAAAAGUAUACUAAGCACAAUAAAACUUAACCUUUGCUCGUAUUCGGUGCUGUUAUUAUUGACAGUAUUAAAAAAUUUCGCCAUAUUGAACUUUGAAGAAAUCGUGUUCUAUCAUUUUCCGACUGCUUCAUCUUAAGCAUCUCUAACGCGCUGCUAGGCAACUUCCCGUGAAUAUUCAGUUUCCGGUGUUCAACAAGAACAUUAUCAAUUCAUUGCUACAUCAAGAUAUGCUACACUUUUGGGAGCUGAAGUGGACGCAUAAUGAGAAGACCGAUGGAGUUAACGGAAAAGGAUGGAAAUCUCUUUUAUUGAAACCGAAUGAAAAUGUGGAGCCGAAGAAGUUAUACUUUCGCCAUACAUUUUUCUACGCAGUCCAUCCCAGAAGCUGAAUUAUUGGUUCUAGAUUUCGGCAAUUAUGAACAACGAGUUUCCAGCUACGCCAUGAAAGUCAUCUCGCUACCCAUUGCAAAUCUACGGAAACGUUCACCCUACUCAAUCCUCAGGACUCCAGCCAGGAAAGAACUUAGCAGAAAAUGUGGAAACAUCAUGAUAUCCCCGGAAUCGUGUUUUCUAGAAUACUUUUACAUCUAGCGUCCUCAUACCAGCUUAACGAUGUGAUUUAUAAUGCUUUUUAAAGCAAGCAGCGAUAUAUAUUGUAUACGGCUCAAAAAAUAAUAAAGUAAAACAUAUUUAUUGAUUUUAUUUCGAAAUUAUUUUUGACAAACAUAAAUAAAACAAAAAUAAGAAUACUGAAAUAUUUCAAACGCUGAGCAAACGGAAUUAAUAUACUUUAUUAGUUUUCUUGAAAGUUAUACUAUAGCUCGUAUUACUCAAAGUUAUACUAAUGCGGUAUUGUCAGAAUUUAAACUUAGACGGGGUCAACCAGGUGAAUAGCCAAAUAGAAUGACUUCUAAUCUAUUUAGCAUAGAUUUU
Molecule: long non-coding RNA, 955 nt
Organism: Armigeres subalbatus
Lineage: Eukaryota; Metazoa; Arthropoda; Insecta; Diptera; Culicidae
Exons: 3
Source: RefSeq, a predicted model, not a curated record